Nematostella vectensis (starlet sea anemone) is the source of this 3393-nucleotide long non-coding RNA. RefSeq lists it as uncharacterized. The record is from RefSeq and is a predicted model, not a curated record. Lineage: Eukaryota; Metazoa; Cnidaria; Anthozoa; Actiniaria; Edwardsiidae. The transcript is spliced from 2 exons.
CAGCCUUAAAAUGCACAAAAAAUAAAGGCCCAGCCUCAACUGAAAGUUAGACGUUCUUAUAAAAAAAGAGUGUAUUUGGCAUUGGUAAUUGCAGUCGGGCAACAUCUAGCUUAGCAUACAAAGAAUGAUUCCACUAGAUGGUUAUUGAAUUGAACGAGGGAUGGAAAUCUAAGCUUUCCUAAGGUAAUAGUAUUCGCUAAUGAGUAUCAAAGCACAUAAAGAAUGAUUUCGCAAAUACCACUAGAUGGUUAUUGAAGAGUAUGACGGAUGAAAAGGCAUAAGUAGACAUUGUUAAUAACUUCCGGAUCUUGAUGGGUGUCAAUACUAUGCAAUUGAAUUGAAGAAAAAAAAAAACAACACAAUAGUUUAAUAGUACUUUGGUCAGGGAAAAUAUAACAACGCGUUCCUUAUUUUUUGGCGUAUGAGACAGGUGGAAAUCCAAAAAGGUGUGUGAAAUGUGAAAUUAAAAAGAACGAGAGUUUAAUUAAGAAUGGGAAUCAGUCGUUUUGAGUUUAGGUGUGAUUAAUCACGGAGCUAGUAUGAGAUGUAUUCGUAACAGUACAAAAGCUGCGAAUCACUUUGAGUCCAGCAUUAGUGUACGCGCCGCCAAAACAUAGUUCCACCCAUAGUCACACGCUUAUCGCAAUUAGAAGCAGCUCUACUCUGAUUGGUCGGCGCACCUGAUGUAUUCAUACGCAUUCCGUAAUCAUAUUAUUUACAAUCUUUGGGGUCGUGACCACAUACGCAUUCGCUCAGGAACGCAGAAAGGGAAAAUCUCACUCGAGUCCAGCACCGAUAGGAAAAUACCACCUCAAGUUAAGAAGGGGAAAAAUAACCCCUCGCCCUAGCUUGAGUAGCGGUGUAGAUGUGAAUUCCAGGAAGGUCGACCACAGAUGUGGUUUAUGGAAGCGACGAAAAAAAACGGAAACCUUCAACCUUUGUAUUAGUGAAUAGGUGCUGGAUUUGUGGGGAACUAUGUUAAGCAAAACAAUGCCUCAGCUGCUCCUCCUGGAAGAAGCGACUUGACGAAGAUUCCUCCAAGAUCAUGCCCUCCCUGGGACAGAAAACAACGUAAUAUUAGAUCAAAUUGCACAGAAAGUAGGUAAAAUUAGAUGGUACGAGCUUUAUAGACAGUGCAUCGUUUUGGUACUAAUGAUACUGUGAGAAAGAAGCAGUAAAGCACAGUUCAAGUUAGCUAUGUGCUGUGAAAGGUACCAAAAACGAUGCACCCGACUAUUUGUGGGUACUAAACGCGCGGUUGAUCUAGAAAUAGGGGAAAGUGUUUCCGUGGGUUAAUAUUGAGAUGACUUUUGGCAACGAGUUCUGCAUUACCUUAAGGGUUUUAGAUUCUCGGUUUUAGAUUCUAGACUUUUAAUUAUUUAAUCCAGAAAGUGAAAGAAGUUUAAUUUGGCCCAGUUUAUUCAAUAACGCAACAUAAAAAAUAUCAUACAGAGGUUUUAACUUUAAGAGCACAUCUUUACUUGAUGAAAGUAGUUUUGUUGGUUUCAGAGUUUAAAACGUCUAUGUUGAUCUAAGUUGGAAGUAAUAACCAAAAAACAACGUUUUUCCGGAUAUUAGGUGACUAUUUGCGUUUUGCUGACUUAACUGCUGACAAAGUUUCAUGGCCGUGAUAAAAUCUCGUAAUUAGCACCAAUCUGCUGGGCAGGCUCUUCUACAAACGAUACUCCCACAAAACAAGACCAACAUAAAUGCCUCCAUAUUUAUUGUUCUCAAAUUUCAUUUUGUAAUCGAGCAGACAUAAUGGAGCCUUUGUCACUUUUUAAAUUGAAAUGGGAAGCUUAUAAGAUGACAACUUCUAAUUUUAACUUCUAUUCAUAAAAGAAAAGUCGGCUGAUUGAGUUUCGGGAUAUGGGCAGAACAGGGUGUUCGUAAUAAGUUUGUGCUUAUUGGAAGUUUACAUUGUGUCACUGUGAGUUGACAAUUGAGGAAAAGUCGAUGUUUGCACAAUCUUUGCGCAAUAAUCUUAGUAACUGAAAAACUGUACGUUAGAAAAAGUUCUAUAAACCGUUGGAUCUCGAUCCGUCAAGACGAGGUACACGAACACGAGAGAUACACACACCUUGGAGUGCGCCCUAACAAAUUUAUGACCCAAAUGUCUUUGAUUGUGGAGACUAAAGAAAUUAGGUGGUAAAUUGAAAAUUCAAAUCCCUUUGUAAGAUUUUAUAAGUUUAGGUGUUUUUUAUUUGCCAUAUUGGAAGUUUUGAUCCUAUUCAAUUCAACAAAUAUAUCUAUGCUUUUGAAGUUUGCGAGUCUCGCUUAAGUACAAAAAGUAUUGAUACUUUCCGACUGAAAUUUUGUCUGAUCUUUCUUGCUCGUAAUCUAAAUUUGGUAUCUCUAAAGGUAUCGGUCUAUCGGAUAAGGUUUUGAAUUUGGUUGAAUGUUUUUCAGUCUAGCUUCUAGGUCAUGAAUAAUAAAACACCUAAGAACACCAAACAGCUGCUUGGCUUGCUUAAACUCCUGAAACAGGCGAAGAAAUAGGAUUUUGUUUUCGCUUGCGACAAGCCAAUAACAUACAUUUACCACAACAAUAAGUCCUUUCCUAACAACAGAAAUUCCUAUUGAAAGUAAUUUUACGACAAAAAUAUAAAUAUUGCUAUUGAAAAAAAGGGACUGAAAAAAUGAAAAGAUUCGCAAGAAAAAACGACAAGAAAGUGUUCACCUUGUCAUACAAGCACAAUUUAUAGCGUUAUUGUCGCAACUAGACAAGAUACACUCAAACUAAAGAAAUAAUCGGAGAACUGAGCUUCUUCUAAAUAUGAACAGGUGAAAGGGAAAGAUUCAUUAUUCAUAGCAAACACAAAAUUCUCAAGAAAAUUUACUUAUGGUUAUGAAUUUUGUUCAAAUAUUUGCUUAACUGGAAAAGGGUCUCAUCAAUUCAUGACGGCUUUAUUAUUUUAUCAGAUUUAGAAAGCCAUGGUACUCUUUGAAAUCACCCGUAUGCCGAUCCUGGUAGCACAUUUAAUCAAUCACAAUUGUUCCCAGCCAUCGCUCACGCGAUUGUAAAUGGAAAAAGUGAUUUAUUAAAUUCAUAGCACUUUAAAAACCUCCUUUUUGUCUAAAUCUCAGGUAAUCUAAAACUCUUGGAAAAUUUUUUCUUGAUUAUCCUUCCGCGAAUAAAACAUUUGUUUCUAGGGUGUUUUGAGCUAGUUGCCUGAUCAAAUCAAAAGGAAAAAUGCGCGCGCUUAGUGUCGAGUGUAAAACCGCUUACCGUAACAUUCAGGCCAAAGCUGCCGUUCAGUUUAGGGAUCUCGAUGGGAAUAAAAUCCUGUUAUACAUCGAGAAUCACGAUUAGUAAGAAAGCUAGAGAGACAGUACUAACAUGAACAUCCAGCAUGUAUAACAUUGUUCUUCAAUAAAGAUGAUGAAUAAAAA